AACGAACGCUGGCGGCAUGCCUAACACAUGCAAGUCGAACGAGAUCUUCGGGUCUAGUGGCGCACGGGUGCGUAACGCGUGGGAAUCUGCCCUUUGGUUCGGAAUAACAGUUGGAAACGACUGCUAAUACCGGAUGAUGACGAAAGUCCAAAGAUUUAUCGCCAGAGGAUGAGCCCGCGUAGGAUUAGCUAGUUGGUGUGGUAAAGGCGCACCAAGGCGACGAUCCUUAGCUGGUCUGAGAGGAUGAUCAGCCACACUGGGAUUGAGACACGGCCCAGACUCCUACGGGAGGCAGCAGUGGGGAAUAUUGGACAAUGGGCGAAAGCCUGAUCCAGCAAUGCCGCGUGAGUGAUGAAGGCCUUAGGGUUGUAAAGCUCUUUCGCACGCGACGAUGAUGACGGUAGCGUGAGAAGAAGCCCCGGCUAACUAUGCGCCAGCCGCCGCCGUAA
This 449-nucleotide ribosomal RNA is filed under the name uncultured bacterium. RNAcentral's name for it is "partial 16S ribosomal RNA". It matches the Rfam family "Bacterial small subunit ribosomal RNA", at positions 29 to 523 of the family's 1533-position model. The record is from RNAcentral.